RNAcentral lists this ribosomal RNA (486 nucleotides) under uncultured bacterium. RNAcentral's name for it is "partial 16S ribosomal RNA". It matches the Rfam family "Bacterial small subunit ribosomal RNA", at positions 30 to 507 of the family's 1533-position model. The record is from RNAcentral.
AUUGAACGCUGGCGGCAUGCCUUACACAUGCAAGUCGAACGGCAGCACGGGUGCUUUCACCUGGUUGCGAGUGGCGCAAGGGUGAGUAUUACAUCUGAACAUGUCCUGUUGUGGGGGAUAGCCCGUCUAAAGCCGGAUUACUACCGCAUACUAUCCACGGAUGAAACCGGUGGACCUUCUGGCCUCGCCCUUUAGGGUUGUCCGAUGGCUGAUUACCUCGUUGUUGGGGUAAAGGCCUACCAAGGCUACGAUCAGUAGCUGGUCUUAGAGGACGACCAGCCAAACGGGGACUGAGAAACGGCCAAGACUCCAAGGGGAGGAAGAAGUGGGGAAUUUUGGAAAAUGGGCGAAAGCCUGAUCAAGAAAGGCCGCGUGUGUGAAGAAGGCCUUCGGGUUGAAAAGCACGUUUGAAGGGAAAGAAAUCCUUGGGUCUAAUAAAGUCGGGGGAUGACGGUACCGGAAGAAUAAGCAACGGCUAACUACGUG